Molecule: ribosomal RNA, 496 nt
Filed under: uncultured bacterium
Lineage: Bacteria
Description: partial 16S ribosomal RNA
Rfam family: Bacterial small subunit ribosomal RNA
Source: RNAcentral
GAUGAACGCUGGCGGCGUGCCUAAUACAUGCAAGUCGAGCGAACGGACGAGAAGCUUGCUUCUCUGAUGUUAGCGGCGGACGGGUGAGUAACACGUGGAUAACCUACCUAUAAGACUGGGAUAACUUCGGGAAACCGGAGCUAAUACCGGAUGAUAUUUUGAACCGCAUGGUUCAAAAGUGAAAGACGGUCUUGCUGUCACUUAUAGAUGGAUCCGCGCUGCAUUAGCUAGUUGGUAAGGUAACGGCUUACCAAGGCAACGAUGCAUAGCCGACCUGAGAGGGUAUCAGGCAACACGGAACUUGGAAACGGUUCAAACCCCUAAGGGAGGCAGCAAGUGGGAAAUUUUCCGAAUUGGCGGAAGCCUUAACGGGGCAAGGCGCGGUGAGUGAUGAAGGCCUCCGAUUGGAAAACUCCUUUAUUAGGGAAGAACAUAUGUGUAAGUAACUGUGCACAUCUUGACGGUACCUAAUCAGAAAGCCACGGCUAACUACGUG